This 460-nucleotide ribosomal RNA is filed under the name uncultured bacterium. RNAcentral's name for it is "partial 16S ribosomal RNA". It matches the Rfam family "Bacterial small subunit ribosomal RNA", at positions 338 to 795 of the family's 1533-position model. The record is from RNAcentral.
CCUACGGGAGGCAGCAGUGAGGAAUAUUGGUCAAUGGGCGCGAGCCUGAACCAGCCAAGUCGCGUGAGGGAAGACGGUCCUAUGGAUUGUAAACCUCUUUUGUCGGGGAGCAAAAGACGCCACGCGUGGCGUUCCGAGAGUACCCGAAGAAAAAGCAUCGGCUAACUCCGUGCCAGCAGCCGCGGUAAUACGGAGGAUGCGAGCGUUAUCCGGAUUUAUUGGGUGUAAAGGGCGAGUAGGCGGGAUUGCAAGUCAGAUGUGAAAACUAUGGGCUCAACCGAUAGAGUGCAUUUGAAACUGCAGUUCUUGAGUGAUGGAGAGGCAGGCGGAAUUCCCGGUGUAGCGGUGGAAUGCGUAGAUAUCGGGAGGAACACCAGUGGCGAAGGCGGCCUGCUGGACAUUAACUGACGCUGAGGCGCGAAAGCGUGGGGAGCAAACAGGAUUAGAUACCCGUGUAGUC